Molecule: long non-coding RNA, 783 nt
Organism: Solea senegalensis (Senegalese sole)
Lineage: Eukaryota; Metazoa; Chordata; Actinopteri; Pleuronectiformes; Soleidae
Exons: 6
Source: RefSeq, a predicted model, not a curated record
GUUUCUGCCUCUCCUCCACGUUUCCAUCUUUCUGUUGGUUCAUCAUUUGCUGCAGAGGAACGCACAUGUUUGAUGUCAUCCUCCAGAAGCCUCUUGUCAGCCUGAAGGCCGCCAUUUUUCUCUGACAGCGCAGACAGCGAGUGAUGCAGUGGGUUGAUGUCCGACUGGAGCUUUUUCACCUGACAAGACAGAAAUGACAAUAAGUCCAUCUGCUGUUGCUGCUGCUGCUGCUGACGGCUACUGGUGGCCAUUUCAUCCAUCUGCUGGUGCAAGAGAGCGUUCUGCUUGCCCAGCUCCUCAGCGCGACGACUCUGAUUGGACAGGUCCUCCUAAAGAAGAGUCCAAGACUGAUUAGAAACACAGCAUUGGAGUUCUUCACAAAAUGGCUACACAAUGUGGUGUAACGGGACCAAAGGGAUGUUGCACUCUUCUCCUGCAGAGCCUCCACAUCAGCAGCAUGAAGCAUGAGCUCCCGCUCAUACUUGGCCUGCGCCUCUCCAGCCAGCUUGGUCUGAAAGGAGGACAGCGAUCAGCUGAGCAGACUCUCCUGAGUGGCCUUCUGCUCCUUUGUGAGAGAAGCAGCCGCUCUCUCCAGUGCAUCCUGCUGUUCAGUCUGACUGGACUUCAGCUGACGCUGCACCUCAUACACCUGGAAAAGACAGAGGGGAGAAGAAGGACACAUAUUCAAAGAUGUACACUAUAGGGCUGAACAAUUAUGGGCCUCCCUCGCCUUCCUCCUCUCCUCCUGCUCCUGCUGCCCCAUUUUCUCCACCUCCACAAUCC